RNAcentral lists this ribosomal RNA (502 nucleotides) under uncultured Glomeromycotina. RNAcentral's name for it is "partial small subunit ribosomal RNA". It matches the Rfam family "Eukaryotic small subunit ribosomal RNA", at positions 591 to 1092 of the family's 1831-position model. Lineage: Eukaryota; Fungi; Glomeromycota. The record is from RNAcentral.
CCAAUAGCGUAUAUUAAAGUUGUUGCAGUUAAAAAGCUCGUAGUUGAACUUCGGGGUUUGCUCAUUGGUCAGGCUUAAUUGUCUGUACUGGUGGGAUAAAUCUCUACCUUCUGAGGAACUUUCAUGCCAUUUAUUUGGUGUGAUGGGAAAUCAGUACUGUUACUUUGAAAAAAUUAGAGUGUUUAAAGCAGACUAACGUCUGAAUACAUUAGCAUGGAAUAAUGAAAUAGGACGGACUGAUUCUAUUUCGUUGGUUUCUAGGAUCACCGUAAUGAUUAAUAGGGAUAGUUGGGGGCAUUAGUAUUCAAUUGUCAGAGGUGAAAUUCUUGGAUUUAUUGAAGACUAACUACUGCGAAAGCAUUUGCCAAGGAUGUUUUCAUUAAUCAAGAACGAAAGUUAGGGGAUCGAAGACGAUCAGAUACCGUCGUAGUCUUAACCAUAAACUAUGCCGACUAGGGAUCGGACGAAGUUAAUUUUAUAAUGACGCGUUCGGCACCUUACG